Neopsephotus bourkii (Bourke's parrot) is the source of this 1424-nucleotide long non-coding RNA. RefSeq lists it as uncharacterized. The transcript has 2 exons. The record is from RefSeq and is a predicted model, not a curated record. Lineage: Eukaryota; Metazoa; Chordata; Aves; Psittaciformes; Psittacidae.
AUGUGCUGCAAUCCUUGCAGUGCAAACAUUAGCUGCAACGUCAGGUGAGGGCUGGUAACAACUUCCUGUGGUUUCAAAUAUACUGAGCAUCACCCGUAAGACAGAUCAGCGUGUAUGUAGUCUUAAAGACCCCCCUCUCCACCUCCUUCAAAUCCAUGGUAUUUUCUGGACCUUGUAUGUCUGCAGCUACUCUUAGUCUAUGCUGCCCUCUUCUGCUCAGUCUCACAGCCGCAACGGUUGCCUUCGUAUUUACAGUUGAAUGUUGUUUAGACGGUACCAUAUUUGCUUCAUAUAGUUUAAUAUAAGAAGCAUUUAUAAAUGCACGAACUAUUUAAGAUGAUGGUUAAUAUGAAGCUGGCAUGUAGUGCAACAACUUUUCAGCUCUUAUAGCAAUUUAUUCAUACAUCGUGAACAAGUGAAGAUUUAUGCUAAAAUGAGGAAUUCUCAGAAAUAUUGUAUUAAAUUAAUAACUUUACCAUUCAUAAGGUAAAAGGUAGGUGAUGUAUUUUGUUCAUCCUGAUGUUUAUCUGCUUUGAAAGAAGUGGAAAACAUGAAGGCAUCAAGUAGAUUGAACUGUUAGCACAGAACAGCUCUUUAUUGUACUUAUAUCAGCAUACUGUUCAAUCUAACUUUGAAUGUGCUUGCUGACAAGCUUUCUAUCAUUUAUAGCCCAGAUAUUAAUGGAUCACUCUAUAAAAAUACUUUUCUGUAUCUUGUUAAUCUGGUUAUUUCCCUUGUUGCUAAGUUUUAACUUGUUCAAAUAUUUAGGGGUUGCUAGUGUGUUCUAUAGCCUUAGCCAAGCUUAGGCAUACUUAACUCUGAUAUUUUUUAAACCAUUCCUUGCAUGUUCUUAACUGUUUUCCAUGCUUCUCUUAGAGUACGCUGCGUUUAUCCGUGAUGAGGUACCCAGAUACGAACACAGCACUCUGCAAUGACAAGAGCAAUGCUGUUAUUUUCUCUUCCCACUGAAGACUGCCUCUCUGUAUGAAAUCAAACUUUAUGCACCCUCUCAUACUAUUUAUUGUCUACAUUUUUUAUAUAUUAUUUUUUAAUUUGAGACAAUGAGUGUUCCUCCUUCCAAUCAUUAAUUAAAAUGACCAUAGUGCCUUCAUAGUGCUGACUGCCUUCUCACAAGAAGCUAUUCAACAGCCAAGUUACUGUCUAGCAUUGCUUUCCAUGUGUCAGUUAGCCAGUUUCCAUUACACUGGGCAGUUUUCCUGUCUGGAAUAAAAGGUCCUAGUGUAUCAAUUUUCUUACAUUCUCUUCAGCAAGUCAUUCUGGAGUACUAGAAAACAAGCCAUCCAGUCCAUUUUUCAAAAUGCAUAUUCUGUAAAAACCUGUGCACAUUAUUGGUUCUGUGUCAUGGUCUUCUACUGAUAUAUGAUUCAGCUAAAACUAAUUGAAAUAAAUUAACUCGGGAACAA